Molecule: long non-coding RNA, 3595 nt
Filed under: Sus scrofa (pig)
Lineage: Eukaryota; Metazoa; Chordata; Mammalia; Artiodactyla; Suidae
Description: lncRNA (ENSSSCG00000056185.1)
Source: RNAcentral
AUCAGCCUUUUUUUUGGAUCCAAAAAAAGAUCUUUUCCCCCCAGCACCAUCUUACCUAUGACUAUAAUAGUCAUCUCUGAAACAAAUUAGAUCAUUUAAGGUAUGCCAGCAUCUUUGCAAAAUCUAACACUUCAUGCCCCUUGGGAGAGCUCUGGAAGCUUGUGUUAUAUCUGUGGAGCCUUCUACACUGGUGGACAUGAUUUAUUGCCUCCCUAUGAAGAAGCUUCAGGUCUCACUUGGCCAGGAAAAUGGAAAAACAUUCAAGGGAAUAUAGUGUCAUAGAUCUUCAAUGUCACCUUCAUUUUACAAUGAAGAGUCAUUGCCCACAUUUUACAAACCAAAGUCCUGGAAGUGAGUUACACCAUUUAGCAGAAUCAGUAGAACAAUCUGAUAUCCAGACUACUUUCCAGUCAUUGACUGCACCUAUAACUUUGAGCAUUCAUGCACUAAAUUAUUGGUAUUACUUUCUGGUAUUGGUUUGAGUCUGCAGCAUAUUUGAAGCUGCUUCCUGUUCAUUGAUUUCUAGUACAUACUUUACAUGGCACUGGUUCUCUUUUAUAUCCAGAUCAGUGAUAAGCCAAUUGUGAUUGUAUUCCACCAACCCCAUUUACUUUUACAAUGAAAUACCAUGUUGAAUUUCAGUUUUCCCUAUGUAUAGAAGACUCAUCCCUUUAGGCAUAAAAUCUGGCUUUGUGUGCAUCUAGAGAAAGGGAACUAAUAUGUUACUCUAUGCUAGGAACUAUGCUCAGUGCUUUGUUAAUGAUACUCAUUUAAUUUUACAUUGCUAAGGAAUAGAAUAUCCAUGUCUGUCAUUUAAUGCUUACCACACAUUUCUCAGACAAAUUUUAUUAAUUCAAUUUAAAGAUCAUAAAAUGAAGGUUUGGAGCAGUUAACUUACCUACCCUAAAUUCACACAGCUCACACAGCUGCUAAGUGGCAGGGCUAGGAUUUGAAACCAUUAUCUUGGUAAUGCCAGAGCUGCUUGAUCUCUGAUAGAAGAGGGAAACACUCUAAGUCACACCCCUCCUGAUCAGCCUAAAUGAACCCACAAACACCUCUCAAGCCACUUAGCCCAGAACUGGUGUCCACAUAGCCAUGUUGAAAUACAUGUCAUAGACAGCAGUCUAUAAAAGAAACACAUAGCAAAUCAGUGCCUUCCAGGACUUUGAUACUCCAUUUGUAUUUCUAGCAGUUGUAGAAAAUUCCUUGACAAAUCUAAAUACACUGUGUCUGCUUGAUCUGACUGGGUAGGCUCUUGUUUAUUGAUUUAGGAUUCUAACAAAGUUUUUGGCUAUCAGAAAGCCUUCAUAUUUCUCUAGCUUGUCAUUUCAAGCUAUUGAGUCUUUUUGAAUAAUAGCUCAAUGAUGUUUACAGAGUUUGCACAAUGCCAAGUGACAGCAAGGACUUUGAAGUUCUGAUGGUUGUUACCUGCCAUUGCCAUAGCAAUAUAAAGAUUAAAACAAUAGUUUGUGAUUAAUUCUGACAGCCAGUUAGUUAGCCAUUUAAAUUUGAGUACCAUCCUCACCAAAUCAACCUCAGGGAAUUUCCAGUCCAACAGUCUGAAUCUAAGGGGCAUUUGUGGGAAAAUAGCCCUGUUCUCUUUUACAUUAACCAUGAGGUUAGCAACAGCUAUCAAACGUCAUGCUCCUUAGUGACCCAUGAUGAGUCAAUCGUGUAUGUGUCUUUUAUUAACCAUGUUUUCAGUCUGUAACACUCCAUGGGGACAGUGAAGACCACUGGCUUACUAGCUUCCACUUAAAUCAAACUGCUGCUUAUUUACAUUAGCUUCACCUAUGUAUAAUUUAAAGGCAUCCCCCUCCCCAUUCAAUUGUUAUAGGACAUGAAAUAGUCUGUCUUGAUGCUGAUCACAUCACGCAUGAUUUUAGAGGCUGCCAAUAAUAAUAAUAGUCACUGUGGGCUUACUGUGUACCAAGGAGGACUGAUUUAUGUGCAUAAUUCUCACAAUAGCAUUACUAGAUAAAAAUAAGUAAACUCAUAUGGUUUAAGUGAUUUGUCCACGGACUCAAGCUAAUAAGUUAUGGAGCCAGCAUUCAUCUCCUGGUCUGUCUCUCUGACAGAAAAAGACCAUGUUCUUGACCACCACCCUACCUCUCCUUCUCAGAUUAACAUUCCAGGCUGAAAGUCUUAAUCUUGUAUGCGAGCCCUCACCCAUCUAGGCCAGUAAUCUCUUCAGCACACCCUUUCCAAACUUUCUCCAUCGCCACUGUCUUUAGUGAAAAAUAAUUAUUCCCAACUUACCCAGAAUUCCAGGUGUGGACACAAUAAAUUUGAACAAAAUAACAUUUUUGUUACUAAAACUUUUAAAAAAAUAUAUCCAGUAAUGUUUGGCCUUUUGGGGAUUCAUUGGUAUCUUGAGGAAAGAGUCAUUAAAGACCCUUCCCUGAAGGUCACUAUUCUCUUUCCUGAGUUGGAAUUGAUGACCCAAAUCCCUCUACCCUAAAAAUGUAGUUGGAAUAUUUUAAUAAAUGGAUAUCCUUAAAACAACACUGAAGCUCAUCUUCCUCUCCCACAAGUUUUUCCUGUAGUUUUUCCCCAUUGGCUUUAAUAAUAACAAUAGCUACCAUGUACUGACCACAUACUAUAUGUCAGGCAUUGUCCUUUAUGUGCCUUUUCUCUUAACUUGUACAACAAUGCUCUUAGACAUCUGUUAUUAGAUUAUUAUUAUUAUUAUUAUCCCUAAUUAGGCAGAUGAGGAAAUUGAGGCUUAGAGUAAUUAAGUAAAAUAUGCAUGAACACAGAGCUAGUAAGUAAACGGCAAGACUCAAAUCUAGAGACUUCUCUAACAGCAGAGCCCAUACUCCUACAUAGUACAUUACUAUCCAUCUACAAUCAAAUUCAACAUACUACCACCUGUGUGCCAAAUCCAGUCUACUGCCUGUUUUUAAAAAUAAAAUUUUAUUAGAACUUAGGCAUACCCACUCAUUUAUAUGUUGUCCAUGGGUACUUUAAUGCUAGGAUAUGCAUGGCCCAUGCAGCUAAAAAUAUUAACUAUCUGUUCCUUUACAGAAAGUUUCCUGACCCCUGAUCUAAAACAUAUUAAAAACAUUAAAUCAAACCAGCCCUUGAGGCAUCUCACUGUUUAUAUGUCUCCUUUCAAAAGACUCAUUUAUCCCUAGUUCUUGUUUCUUGCCUUAAAUUAGUCUCAUCUAUAUGAUGAAACCUUAGGACUUUGUAGUGGCUUUCAUAGGAUGUUUUUGGUAGUCUACAUAUACUUCAUUGGUGGUCCUUUAUCAAAAUGCGUACUAUCUGGGCCUGCUACAAAAAAUUAUCACAAACUUGGUGGCUUGAAACAACACAAGUUUAUUCUCUCAUAGUUUUAAAAGCUAAAAAUCUGGAGUUCCUGUCGUGGCGCAGUGGUUAACGAAUCCGACUAGGAACCAUAAGGUUGCGGGUUCGAUCCCUGCCCUUGCUCAGUGGGUUAAUGAUCCGGCGUUGCCGUGAGCUGUGGUGUAGGUUGCAGACGCGGCUCGGAUCCCACGUUGCUGUGGCUCUGGUGCAGGCCGGUGGCUACAGCUCUGAUUCGACCCCUAGCCUGGGAACUCCAUAUGCCGCGAGAGCAGCCCAAGAAAAUGAU